CCUACGGGGGGCAGCAGUGGGGAAUAUUGGACAAUUGGGGCAACCCUGAUCCAGCCAUGCCGCGUGUGUGAAGAAGGCCCUCGGGUUGUAAAGCACUUUCAGUGAGGAAGAACGCCUGGUGGUUAAUACCCAUCAGGAAAGACAUCACUCACAGAAGAAGCACCGGCUAACUCCGUGCCAGCAGCCGCGGUAAUACGGAGGGUGCGAGCGUUAAUCGGAAUUACUGGGCGUAAAGCGCGCGUAGGUGGCUUGAUAAGCCGGUUGUGAAAGCCCCGGGCUCAACCUGGGAACGGCAUCCGGAACUGUCAAGCUAGAGUGCAGGAGAGGAAGGUAGAAUUCCCGGUGUAGCGGUGAAAUGCGUAGAGAUCGGGAGGAAUACCAGUGGCGAAGGCGGCCUUCUGGACUGACACUGACACUGAGGUGCGAAAGCGUGGGUAGCAAACAGGAUUAGAUACCCUAGUAGUC
Molecule: ribosomal RNA, 465 nt
Filed under: Vreelandella stevensii
Lineage: Bacteria; Pseudomonadati; Pseudomonadota; Gammaproteobacteria; Oceanospirillales; Halomonadaceae
Description: partial 16S ribosomal RNA
Rfam family: Bacterial small subunit ribosomal RNA
Source: RNAcentral